RNAcentral lists this long non-coding RNA (497 nucleotides) under Homo sapiens (human). RNAcentral describes it as "HSALNT0305111". Lineage: Eukaryota; Metazoa; Chordata; Mammalia; Primates; Hominidae. The record is from RNAcentral.
UGGGAUUAAACUGAACUUAUAGAUCAAUCUGGGAAGAACUGACAGUAUGAUGUUUGCUACAGAUUUUUCAUAGAUGCCUUUUAUCAGAGCUGCUUGAAACCACCUCUGCUUUCUAGCUGCUGGCUAGCCUGACUUCCCUCAGGAAAGACCCAUAAAAGGAAGAAUUGCCCCCAACAAAUGAGCAGAGCAUGAUCUGUUGUGUGAAAGGAAAGAGGCAUGACUUUGGAUCCUGUAGAAGCCAGUUUGCUCUACCCAGCAAAAAACUGCUCCUUAUCCUGAGACUUUAACUCUGGCAACCAAUUUUCCUAGUUAGGUUACUGGAAACAAUAAGAGGAAUUGGGCCACAAUGAAUACGAUCCAAUGAAAAUCCAGUGAAAUUCUUAAAAAACCUUGGUAGUUCUGGUAUCUCAGUAUUGACACAGAAAAGACAGGCCCUACCUAAUGAAUAUUUUAACUUUUAUCAACCUUAAAACUCUAAUUAAAAUGUUGUCCAGCAA